GGAGCGGUAGUUCAGUUGGUUAGAAUACCUGCCUGUCACGCAGGGGGUCGCGCGUUCGAGUCCCGUCCGUUCCGCCA
Molecule: transfer RNA, 77 nt
Filed under: Marinobacterium sediminicola
Lineage: Bacteria; Pseudomonadati; Pseudomonadota; Gammaproteobacteria; Oceanospirillales; Oceanospirillaceae
Description: tRNA_Asp_GTC
Rfam family: tRNA
About the family: Transfer RNA (tRNA) molecules are approximately 80 nucleotides in length. Their secondary structure includes four short double-helical elements and three loops (D, anti-codon, and T loops). Further hydrogen bonds mediate the characteristic L-shaped molecular structure. tRNAs have two regions of fundamental functional importance: the anti-codon, which is responsible for specific mRNA codon recognition, and the 3' end, to which the tRNAs corresponding amino acid is attached (by aminoacyl-tRNA synthetases). tRNAs cope with the degeneracy of the genetic code in two manners: having more than one tRNA (with a specific anti-codon) for a particular amino acid; and 'wobble' base-pairing, i.e. permitting non-standard base-pairing at the 3rd anti-codon position.
Source: RNAcentral